AUGCACUCUGUUUAUUUUACUUUACCCAAACUUCCAAAAAUAACUAUUAUUUCAUGCUGGCAGGCUCUAGAACGCAGGCUGAAGGACACAAGAAGCAGUCUACACGCAGGCGAGCCGGCUUUGAGCUCCCAGGGUGUCCUCCGUGUGGUCGCAAGGUAAUGAUGCUUGAAUUGAACUUCUACUAAGGUAAAGUUGAUGGGACUAUGCUUUUCCCAGAUAUUUUUAUCUGUAGAAUUUAGCUAAAUUACUGAAGUAAUGUUUUUCACCUUGGUAAAGAUUAUUGCCUUUGGAUAGUCAUUCCAAACAUAAGGAACAUAAGGCUUUUUUUGAAGCCAGGUGUGCUUAACCACUGAACCACAUCCCCAACCCUUUUCAUAUUUUAAUCUUGUUAGGUUGCUUGGGGCCUUGCUAAGUUGUUGAGGCUGGCUUUGAACUCGCAAACCUCCUGCCUCAGCCUCCUGAAUCGCUGGGAUUACAGGUGUGUGCUACUGAGCCCGACACUUUUAGGUAAAUUUUUUAAAUGACAUAGUAGGAUUCUCCCCCCGCUCCCC
This 551-nucleotide long non-coding RNA is filed under the name Urocitellus parryii (Arctic ground squirrel). RNAcentral describes it as "lncRNA (ENSUPAG00010002328.1)". The record is from RNAcentral. Lineage: Eukaryota; Metazoa; Chordata; Mammalia; Rodentia; Sciuridae.